Molecule: ribosomal RNA, 499 nt
Filed under: uncultured Paracoccaceae bacterium
Lineage: Bacteria; Pseudomonadati; Pseudomonadota; Alphaproteobacteria; Rhodobacterales; Paracoccaceae
Description: bacterial SSU rRNA
Rfam family: Bacterial small subunit ribosomal RNA
Source: RNAcentral
UUACUGGGCGUAAAGCGCACGUAGGCGGAUCAGAAAGUAUGAGGUGAAAUCCCGGGGCUCAACCCCGGAACUGCCUUGUAAACUCCUGGUCUUGAGUUCGAGAGAGGUGAGUGGAAUUCCGAGUGUAGAGGUGAAAUUCGUAGAUAUUCGGAGGAACACCAGUGGCGAAGGCGGCUCACUGGCUCGAUACUGACGCUGAGGUGCGAAAGUGUGGGGAGCAAACAGGAUUAGAUACCCUGGUAGUCCACACCGUAAACGAUGAAUGCCAGACGUCAGCAAGCAUGCUUGUUGGUGUCACACCUAACGGAUUAAGCAUUCCGCCUGGGGAGUACGGUCGCAAGAUUAAAACUCAAAUGAAUUGACGGGGGCCCGCACAAGCGGUGGAGCAUGUGGUUUAAUUCGAAGCAACGCGAAGAACCUUACCUACACUUGACAUCCAGAGAACUUUCUAGAGAUAGAUUGGUGCCUUCGGGAACUCUGAGACAGGUGCUGCAUGGCU